Molecule: ribosomal RNA, 995 nt
Filed under: Paraorygmatobothrium sp. MS05-580-1
Lineage: Eukaryota; Metazoa; Platyhelminthes; Cestoda; Phyllobothriidea; Phyllobothriidae
Description: eukaryotic LSU rRNA
Rfam family: Eukaryotic large subunit ribosomal RNA
Source: RNAcentral
GGAUUCCCCUAGUAACGGCGAGUGAAGAGGGAAAAGCCCAGCACCGAAGCCUGCGGCAGUUUUGCUGUUAGGCAAUGUGGUGUUUGGGUCGGCUCGCGGGAUUGCCACUCCACUCGAAGUCCAGCAUUGAGUAUGGUCACUGGAAUUGGCCCAGAGAGGGUGAAAGGCCCGUACGGGUGGAGGUUCAGAAAUGUAAGGCAAUUCACCAGGCCGGCCUUAGAGUCGGGUUGUUUGAGAAUGCAGCCCAAAGUGGGUGGUAAACUCCAUCCAAGGCUAAAUACAAGCACGAGUCCGAUAGCGAACAAGUACCGUGAGGGAAAGUUGAAAAGUACUUUGAAGAGAGAGUAAACAGUACGUGAAACCGCAUGCAGGUAAACGGGUGGCGUCAAGCUGCGAACCCAGAGGAUUCAGCUGGCUAGGAUGUUGUGAUGCGCCUGGCGCAUCCAUCAGUCGGAAUAAGAUGUGAUAGUCCACUGGGAGACGGUGGGCCCGGCCGUAAGGUUGGGAUAUGUGUACCGGGUGUUAGCCGGAGCAUGCUAUUCAUCUGUUGGGCUGUCUAGUCAGUGCACUUUCUCUGUGGUGAACACCACGACCGGUGGAAUUGCCAGUCUGCUGUAGUCAAGUCUUGCUGAGAGGGUCCUUGUGGCCAACUUGGUAGGAUCACAGGCAAUGUCAGUGAACGGCGUAGGANUGCCUUUGGUGUUCCUGCGUGAUAUCGGCCACUGCUUGUCAACGGGCCUGCUCGGCGGUUGUUGUAACUGCUGCUGGGUGGUCUGGUGGGCUAUGGUGGUAAUAAAAACUGUGCAAGGCACCGGAGAUGUCGGCCUCAAAUGCACUCUGCACUGGCAUGUUACAAGUGCGAGGGGGUGCCAUUGCGAUCCGCCUGUUGUUGAGUCUGAUUGUCGUGUCGCCUGCGCAAAGUGGGCCCGGCAGUGGCUUGAUGCAGGAUGGGCCGUGGAUGGUGUCUCUCAGGUGUAGGGUGCGGUGGGCCCAAU